Rhipicephalus sanguineus (brown dog tick) is the source of this 1227-nucleotide long non-coding RNA. RefSeq lists it as uncharacterized. The record is from RefSeq and is a predicted model, not a curated record. NCBI's taxonomy places the organism in Eukaryota, Metazoa, Arthropoda, Arachnida, Ixodida, Ixodidae. The transcript has 3 exons.
UCAAGAAGCGCAUGCAUAACAGCGUCCCACCUCCUCACUUUGAAAAGUUUCUCUCAUCACGCCACGAGCUCUACUGUCUCGUCUGCCUUGUGCUCCUCUCUCUCCUUUCGCCCUCUCAUCGUUACAGGUUCUAUAUAGAGCGAGACGUAGGUACGUAUGGGCCGUAACGCGUACUCUGCCCGUCGCGUGCGUGUCCCCCGUGUGUUUGCCGAGCUGCAUCGCAUCAGCGGCCCGCACAGCACUUGGCCCGGAACACCCUACCUCCGCUGCUGUUCUCGCAUGGCCGUCACACUAGCCGUAGACAGUCGGCAGACGGCAGUCUCCAGAACACGGGCAGAGUAAUAGAAAAGGUGGCAAGGUGGAGGAGUCAUGGUUCUCAACGCAAAGUUGGUGUUCUCAGUGGCGUUAACGCUAUUCCUCUUCGGCGUGAAUGAGGCGUCGUCAGAAGAGACAUCGAAAAAGGAUUUACCAGAAUACUGCUCUAAAGGAGGCGAAAUUGACUGGAUGGCUGUUGCGGGCAAAGCCUUCGAACUUUACCAAAACUAUGCAUCAAAGGAAACAGCUUCAAGGGCGCGCACACCGUUAGAAGACAUGCUAGUCGCCGCACUUACGCGAAAAGGAAGACAGUGCAGUGCCACCUGCAACGAGUGAAUCCACUGCAAGUGCUGAUGCCAAGGACAGUGCUGGACAACCGGACAUCUCGGCCGCCCUCCUUGGAUCGCUACUUUCGAACCUAGGGAACGCUGGCGCUUCUUCCAAGAAAUCAGCUGACGCUGAUCCAUGGCCGGCCUUCAAGACAAUGCUUGAUGGACUCGGUGCGUUGAACGGCAAAGAAUCGUCUUCCGGAAGUUCAGGACCGGGGGGUCUCGACCUGUCCAAGCUAGCGCCCUUAGUCAUGCAAGCACUGCCGUCUUUGCUUGGUUCCCAGGGUAGUGGUUCCCAGGCAAGCGUCUUGUCUUUGCUGGGCUCGCUUAUGGGCAACCAGCAAGGCGGACAAGGCCUGGAGAAAAUGUUUUCCCAAGUGCUUAAGAGCAUCUUCAAUCCCGACAGGCAAGGAAAGGAUGGCAAUUGGCGGAUGGUUUGGAGCCGGCUCUGUCUGGCGUUAUAGAAUCCCUCCUCAAGGCUGGCCUUAAGGAGGAUGCUUCAUCAAAGGAUACACCCAAAGAUACUGAAAGCUCUACGUUACGGACCGAAUUAUAAGUUAAUAAAUUAUUUUUCUGAAUAUAA